This 512-nucleotide ribosomal RNA is filed under the name uncultured bacterium. Its description in RNAcentral is "bacterial SSU rRNA". It matches the Rfam family "Bacterial small subunit ribosomal RNA", at positions 15 to 518 of the family's 1533-position model. The record is from RNAcentral.
GAUCCUGGCUCAGGAUGAACGCUGGCGGCGCGCCUAACACAUGCAAGUCGAACGAAGCUAAGAUUGCGGAAGUUUCGGAUGGAAGCGAACUUAGCUUAGUGGCGAACGGGUGAGUAACACGUGAGUAACCUGCCCUUCAGUGGGGGACAACAGUUGGAAACGACUGCUAAUACCGCAUAAGACCACAGUGCCACAUGGCACAGUGAUCAAAGGAUUAAUUUUCGCUGAAGGAUGGACUCGCGUCUGAUUAGCUAGAUGGUGAGGUAACGGCCCACCAUGGCAACGAUCAGUAGCCGGACUGAGAGGUUGAUCGGCCACAUUGGGACUGAGACACGGCCCAGACUCCUACGGGAGGCAGCAGUGGGGGAUAUUGCACAAUGGAGGAAACUUCCUGAUGCAGCGACGCCGCGUGAGGGAAGAAGGUUUUCGGAUUGUAAACCUCUGUCUUCGGGGACGAAACAAAUGACGGUACUCGAGGAGGAAGCCACGGCUAACUACGUGCCAGCCGCCGC